This 375-nucleotide ribosomal RNA is filed under the name Peromyscus sp. LSG-2009a. RNAcentral describes it as "SSU rRNA". It matches the Rfam family "Eukaryotic small subunit ribosomal RNA", at positions 1 to 330 of the family's 1831-position model. The record is from RNAcentral. Lineage: Eukaryota; Metazoa; Chordata; Mammalia; Rodentia; Cricetidae.
ACCUGGUUGAUCCUGCCAGUAGCAUAUGCUUGUCUCAAAGAUUAAGCCAUGCAUGUCUAAGUACGCACGGCUGGUACAGUGAAACUGCGAAUGGCUCAUUAAAUCAGUUAUGGUUCCUUUGGUCGCUCGCUCCUCUCCUACUUGGAUAACUGUGGUAAUUCUAGAGCUAAUACAUGCCGACGGGCGCUGACCCCCUUCGCGGGGGGGAUGCGUGCAUUUAUCAGAUCAAAACCAACCCGGUCAGCUCCCUCCCGGCCCCGGCCGGGGGGCGGGCGCCGGCGGCUUUGGUGACUCUAGAUAACCUCGGGCCGAUCGCACGCCCUCCGUGGCGGCGACGACCCAUUCGAACGUCUGCCCUAUCAACUUUCGAUGGUA